Molecule: ribosomal RNA, 327 nt
Filed under: uncultured eukaryote
Lineage: Eukaryota
Description: partial 18S ribosomal RNA
Rfam family: Eukaryotic small subunit ribosomal RNA
Source: RNAcentral
CCCUUAGAUGUUCUGGGCCGCACACGCGCUACACUGAAGGAGGCAGCGUGUACUCCUGGAUCGAAAGAUUUGGGUAACCCGCGAAUCUCCUUCGUGCUAGGGAUUGAGGUUUGCAAUUAUCCUUCAUGAACGAGGAAUUCCCAGUAAGUGCAAGUCAUAAGCUUGCGCUGACUACGUCCCUGCCCUUUGUACACACCGCCCGUCGCUACUACCGAUUGAAUGAUUUAGUGAGGACUUCGGACUGGGACCGAUGCGGCUUUCGGGCAGCGUCGGUAUUCUGGAAAGAUGUCCAAACUGUAUCAUUUAGAGGAAGUAAAAGUCGUAACA